AUUGAACGCUGGCGGCAGGCUUAACACAUGCAAGUCGAACGAGCGGCGGACGGGUGAGUAAUGUCUGGGAAACUGCCUGGUGGCGGGGGAUAACUACUGGAAACGGUAGCUAAUACCGCAUACCCUCAGAUGUGCCCAGAUGGGAUUAGCUAGUUGGUGGGGUAAUGGCUCACCAAGGCGACGAUCCCUAGCUGGUCUGAGAGGAGGACCAGCCACACUGGAACUGAGACACGGUCCAGACUCGUACGGGAGGCAGCAGUGGGGAAUAUUGCACAAUGGGCGCAAGCCUGAUGCAGCCAUACCGCGUGUAUGAAGAAGGCCUUCGGGUUGGAAAGUACUUUCGGCGGGGAGGCGUUACCCGCAGAAGAAGCACCGGCUAACUGCGUGCCAGCAGCCGCGGUAAUUC
Molecule: ribosomal RNA, 406 nt
Filed under: uncultured bacterium
Lineage: Bacteria
Description: partial 16S ribosomal RNA
Rfam family: Bacterial small subunit ribosomal RNA
Source: RNAcentral